CCUACGGGGGGCUGCAGUGGGGAAUAUUGGACAAUGGGGGGAACCCUGAUCCAGCCAUGCCGCGUGUGUGAAGAAGGCCCUCGGGUUGUAAAGCACUUUCAGUGAGGAAGAACGCCUGGUGGUUAAUACCCAUCAGGAAAGACAUCACUCACAGAAGAAGCACCGGCUAACUCCGUGCCAGCAGCCGCGGUAAUACGGAGGGUGCGAGCGUUAAUCGGAAUUACUGGGCGUAAAGCGCGCGUAGGUGGCUUGAUAAGCCGGUUGUGAAAGCCCCGGGCUCAACCUGGGAACGGCAUCCGGAACUGUCAAGCUAGAGAGCAGGAGAGGAAGGUAGAAUUCCCGGUGUAGCGGUGAAAUGGGUAGAGAUCGGGAGGAAUACCAGUGGCGAAGGCGGCCUUCUGGACUGACACUGACACUGAGGUGCGAAAGCGUGGGUAGCAAACAGGAUAAGAUACCCUAGUAGUC
Molecule: ribosomal RNA, 465 nt
Filed under: Vreelandella stevensii
Lineage: Bacteria; Pseudomonadati; Pseudomonadota; Gammaproteobacteria; Oceanospirillales; Halomonadaceae
Description: partial 16S ribosomal RNA
Rfam family: Bacterial small subunit ribosomal RNA
Source: RNAcentral